GAUGAACGCUGGCGGCGUGCCUAAUACAUGCAAGUCGAGCGAACAGACGAGGAGCUUGCUCCUCUGACGUUAGCGGCGGACGGGUGAGUAACACGUGGAUAACCUACCUAUAAGACUGGGAUAACUUCGGGAAACCGGAGCUAAUACCGGAUAAUAUAUUGAACCGCAUGGUUCAAUAGUGAAAGACGGUUUUGCUGUCACUUAUAGAUGGAUCCGCGCCGUAUUAGCUAGUUGGUAAGGUAACGGCUUACCAAGGCAACGAUGCGUAGCCGACCUGAGAGGGUAAUCGGCCACACUGGAACUGAGACACGGUCCAGACUCCUACGGGAGGCAGCAGUAGGGAAUCUUCCGCAAUGGGCGAAAGCCUGACGGAGCAACGCCGCGUGAGUGAUGAAGGUCUUCGGAUCGUAAAACUCUGUUAUUAGGGAAGAACAAAUGUGUAAGUAACUAUGCACGUCUUGACGGUACCUAAUCAGAAAGCCACGGCUAACUACGUG
This 497-nucleotide ribosomal RNA is filed under the name uncultured bacterium. Its description in RNAcentral is "partial 16S ribosomal RNA". It matches the Rfam family "Bacterial small subunit ribosomal RNA", at positions 28 to 507 of the family's 1533-position model. The record is from RNAcentral.